Molecule: ribosomal RNA, 387 nt
Filed under: uncultured bacterium
Lineage: Bacteria
Description: bacterial SSU rRNA
Rfam family: Bacterial small subunit ribosomal RNA
Source: RNAcentral
GAUGAACGCUAGCGGGAGGCUUAAUACAUGCAAGUCGAGGGGUAACAGGGGCUUCGGCCCGCUGACGACCGGCGCACGGGUGAGUAACGCGUACGCAACUUACCUCCAAGCGAGGGAUAGCCCUGGGAAACUGGGAUUAAUACCUCAUGUGAUUAUGAUGCCGCAUGGUGUUAUAAUUAAAGUUCAGGCGCUUGGAGAUGGGCGUGCGUCCUAUUAGCUAGUUGGUGAGGUAACGGCUCACCAAGGCGACGAUAGGUAGGGGGCGUGAGAGCGUGGCCCCCCACACGGGUACUGAGACACGGACCCGACUCCUACGGGAGGCAGCAGUAAGGAAUAUUGGACAAUGGGCGCAAGCCUGAUCCAGCCAUCCCGCGUGCAGGAUGACAG